This 247-nucleotide long non-coding RNA is filed under the name Prunus persica (peach). RNAcentral describes it as "long non-coding RNA (PPER_LNC002628)". Lineage: Eukaryota; Viridiplantae; Streptophyta; Magnoliopsida; Rosales; Rosaceae. The record is from RNAcentral.
GUGUGCCCGGUAGAUGCAUUUGGCACUAUGAACUGAUUCGGUGGCAGUUACAAAUUAACAUAGGUCUUAAUUCUGGAACUGCAAUUCAUAAAUGGCUUCAUCUGUACUUAACCCAGUUGUUUUUGCAGGUCGGUCUCAACCAAGUGUUGAUUGCAAUAUUCUAAACAAGAUGACCAUACACUGUUAUUUGAUGUAGGUAUACGUAUGAGAUGGCUUAGCUUUAAUUGGUUUGGUUGUUCCAAGUUUU